UACGACUACAUAUCAGGCAUAUCAAUAAGCGGAGGAAAAGAAACUAACUAGGAUUCCCUCAGUAACGGCGAGUGAAGCGGGAGAGCUCAAAUUUGAAAUCUUCAAGGUUCUACCUUGACGAAUUGUAGUUUAUAGAAGUGUUUUCUGUAGUGGAGUUUGGUAAAAGUUCUUUGGAAUAGGACAUCAUAGAGGGUGAGAAUCCCGUAUUUGACCAUUUACUUCCAGCUGUGUGAUACACUUUCAAAGAGUCGGAUUGUUUGGGAAUGCAGUCCAAAAUGGGUGGUAAAUUUCAUCUAAAGCUAAAUAUUGGCGAGAGACCGAUAGCGAACAAGUACCGUGAGGGAAAGAUGAAAAGAACUUUGAAAAGAGAGUUAAACAGUACGUGAAAUUGUCAAAAGGGAAGCGUUUGACACCAGUGUUGUUUUCUCGAAAAUCAAUUAAAAAUGACCUGGAUUUUGUGUUGUAUUGACUUUAUCAGCUUUCUGCACUCUUUUCUUGUCUUUUUUAAUGCACUUUUCGUUUAACAAGUCAACAUCAAUUUCUUUUGUUGUAAAAGGGUCAUUGGAAGGUGGCUUUCACUUCGGUGAAAGUGUUUAUAGCCUUUGACUUCUGCAAUCGGAGAGAUUGAGGUCUGCAGCGUAGAUCCUUCGGGGUUAGAUACAUUUGUGCUAAGUUGUAGUUUUUCAUAGACAACAUGUUGACUGUGAUUAAUCAUGUAGCUUACUCGCUUAUGCUAUUUUACCUACGCUUAGGAUGUUGACGCGCGUGUGUGCGUG
This 776-nucleotide ribosomal RNA is filed under the name uncultured Neocallimastigales. RNAcentral describes it as "partial large subunit ribosomal RNA". It matches the Rfam family "Eukaryotic large subunit ribosomal RNA", at positions 24 to 639 of the family's 3401-position model. The record is from RNAcentral. Lineage: Eukaryota; Fungi; Neocallimastigomycota; Neocallimastigomycetes; Neocallimastigales.